AUUGAACGCUGGCGGCAGGCCUAACACAUGCAAGUCGAGCGGAUGAAGGGAGCUUGCUCCUGGAUUCAGCGGCGGACGGGUGAGUAAUGCCUAGGAAUCUGCCUGGUAGUGGGGGAUAACGUCCGGAAACGGGCGCUAAUACCGCAUACGUCCUGAGGGAGAAAGUGGGGGAUCUUCGGACCUCACGCUAUCAGAUGGGCCUAGGUCGGAUUAGCUAGUUGGUGGGGUAAAGGCCUACCAAGGCGACGAUCCGUAACUGGUCUGAGAGGAUGAUCAGUCACACUGGAACUGAGACACGGUCCAGACUCCUACGGGAGGCAGCAGUGGGGAAUAUUGGACAAUGGGCGAAAGCCUGAUCCAGCCAUGCCGCGUGUGUGAAGAAGGUCUUCGGAUUGUAAAGCACUUUAAGUUGGGAGGAAGGGCAGUAAGUUAAUACCUUGCUGUUUUGACGUUACCAACAGAAUAGGCACCGGCUAACUUCGUG
This 484-nucleotide ribosomal RNA is filed under the name uncultured bacterium. RNAcentral describes it as "partial 16S ribosomal RNA". It matches the Rfam family "Bacterial small subunit ribosomal RNA", at positions 30 to 507 of the family's 1533-position model. The record is from RNAcentral.